Molecule: unclassified non-coding RNA, 323 nt
Filed under: uncultured fungus
Lineage: Eukaryota; Fungi
Description: partial contains small subunit ribosomal RNA, internal transcribed spacer 1, and 5.8S ribosomal RNA
Rfam family: Eukaryotic small subunit ribosomal RNA (bases 1-73)
Source: RNAcentral
UCAAACUUGGUCAUUUAGAGGAAGUAAAAGUCGUAACAAGGUAACCGUAGGUGAACCUGCGGUUGGAUCAUUACUGAUAUUUUUGGGUUGCCAUCGCUUUUUGGAGUGGUGGGGGCCCAUCCACACCCUUGUGAAUGUUUUCGUCUUUGUUGUCUCUGCGGGGAGACAUUCCCACAGGGCAACACCAAGAUUACACUCGUGUAUUUUUGAACAUGAUUUCUUGGUGGUUUGGUGAGUCUCUGAUUCAACCAAGCCUCCAAAAGCUAAUCGCAAAAACUUUUGACAACGGAUCUCUUGGCUCUCGCAUCGAUGAAGAACGCAGC